CGAUGAUCCCAGCUUGCUGGGGGAUUAGUGGCGAACGGGUGAGUAACACGUGAGUAACCUGCCCUUGACUCUGGGAUAAGCCUGGGAAACUGGGUCUAAUACCGGAUAUGACCGUCUGACGCAUGUCAGGUGGUGGAAAGCUUUUGUGGUUUUGGAUGGACUCGCGGCCUAUCAGCUUGUUGGUGGGGUAAUGGCCUACCAAGGCGACGACGGGUAGCCGGCCUGAGAGGGUGACCGGCCACACUGGGACUGAGACACGGCCCAGACUCCUACGGGAGGCAGCAGUGGGGAAUAUUGCACAAUGGGCGCAAGCCUGAUGCAGCGACGCCGCGUGAGGGAUGACGGCCUUCGGGUUGUAAACCUCUUUCAGUAGGGAAGAAGCGAAAGUGACGGUACCUGCAGAAGAAGCGCCGGCUAACUACGUGCCAGCAGCCGCGGUAAUACGUAGGGCGCAAGCGUUAUCCGGAAUUAUUGGGCGUAAAGAGCUCGUAGGCGGUUUGUCGCGUCUGCUGUGAAAGACCGGGGCUCAACUCCGGUUCUGCAGUGGGUACGGGCAGACUAGAGUGCAGUAGGGGAGACUGGAAUUCCUGGUGUAGCGGUGAAAUGCGCAGAUAUCAGGAGGAACACCGAUGGCGAAGGCAGGUCUCUGGGCUGUAACUGACGCUGAGGAGCGAAAGCAUGGGGAGCGAACAGGAUUAGAUACCCUGGUAGUCCAUGCCGUAAACGUUGGGCACUAGGUGUGGGGGACAUUCCACGUUUUCCGCGCCGUAGCUAACGCAUUAAGUGCCCCGCCUGGGGAGUACGGCCGCAAGGCUAAAACUCAAAGGAAUUGACGGGGGCCCGCACAAGCGGCGGAGCAUGCGGAUUAAUUCGAUGCAACGCGAAGAACCUUACCAAGGCUUGACAUGAACCGGAAAGACCUGGAAACAGGUGCCCCGCUUGCGGUCGGUUUACAGGUGGUGCAUGGUUGUCGUCAGCUCGUGUCGUGAGAUGUUGGGUUAAGUCCCGCAACGAGCGCAACCCUCGUU
This 1028-nucleotide ribosomal RNA is filed under the name bacterium. Its description in RNAcentral is "bacterial SSU rRNA". It matches the Rfam family "Bacterial small subunit ribosomal RNA", at positions 67 to 1109 of the family's 1533-position model. The record is from RNAcentral.